RNAcentral lists this ribosomal RNA (368 nucleotides) under uncultured bacterium. RNAcentral describes it as "bacterial SSU rRNA". It matches the Rfam family "Bacterial small subunit ribosomal RNA", at positions 527 to 896 of the family's 1533-position model. The record is from RNAcentral.
GGAGGAUCCGAGCGUUAUCCGGAUUUAUUGGGUUUAAAGGGAGCGUAGGUGGAUUGUUAAGUCAGUUGUGAAAGUUUGCGGCUCAACCGUAAAAUUGCAGUUGAAACUGGCAGUCUUGAGUACAGUAGAGGUGGGCGGAAUUCGGUGGUGUAGCGGUGAAAUGCUUAGAUAUCACGAAGAACUCCGAUUGCGAAGGCAGCUCACUAGACUGUUACUGACACUGAUGCUCGAAAGUGUGGGUAUCAAACAGGAUUAGAUACCCUGGUAGUCCACACAGUAAACGAUGAAUACUCGCUGUUUGCGAUAUACAGUAAGCGGCCAAGCGAAAGCAUUAAGUAUUCCACCUGGGGGGUACGCCGGCAACGGUG